ACGAAGGGGGCGAGCGUUAUUCGGAAUCACUGGGCGUAAAGCGUAUGUAGGCGGUUAUGUAAGUUAGAAGUGAAAGCCCAGGGCUUAACCUUGGAAUUGCUUUUAAUACUACAUGACUCGAAUUCGGUAGAGGAUAGUGGAAUUAUCAGUGUAGCAGUGAAAUGCGUAGAUAUUGAUAGGAACACCAGUGGCGUAGGCGACUAUCUGGACCGACAUUGACGCUGAGAUACGAAAGCGUGGGUAGCAAACAG
Molecule: ribosomal RNA, 251 nt
Filed under: uncultured prokaryote
Description: partial 16S rRNA
Rfam family: Bacterial small subunit ribosomal RNA
Source: RNAcentral